GGCGCGGGCGGUCUGGUAAGUCGGAUGUAAAAUCUCCUGGCUUAACUGGGAGGGACCAUCCGAUACUGCCGGGCUGGAGUGCAGCAGGAGGAGGUGGAAUUCCCGGUGUAGUGGUGAAAUGCGUAGAUAUCGGGAGGAACACCAGUGGCGAAGGCGGCCUCCUAGGCUGUUACUGACGCUGAGGCCCGAAAGCGUGGGGAGCGAACAGGAUCAGAUACCCUGGUAGUCCACGCCGUAAACUAUGGACACUAGGUAUGGGGAGUAUCGACCCUCUCCGUGCCGAAGCUAACGCUUUAAGUGUCCCGCCUGGGAAGUACGGUCGCAAGACUAAA
RNAcentral lists this ribosomal RNA (332 nucleotides) under uncultured bacterium. Its description in RNAcentral is "bacterial SSU rRNA". It matches the Rfam family "Bacterial small subunit ribosomal RNA", at positions 568 to 898 of the family's 1533-position model. The record is from RNAcentral.